UGCCUUAGUAACGGCGAGUGAAGCGGCAACAGCUCAAAUUUGAAAUCUGGCUUCGGCCCGAGUUGUAAUUUGCAGAGGAUGUUUAUGGUGCGGUACCUUCCGAGUUCCCUGGAACGGGACGCCACAGAGGGUGAGAGCCCCGUCUGGCUGGAUACUAAACCUGUGUUAAACUCCUUCAACGAGUCGAGUAGUUUGGGAAUGCUGCUCUAAACGGGAGGUAAAUCUCUUCUAAAGCUAAAUAUUGGCCAGAGACCGAUAGCGCACAAGUAGAGUGAUCGAAAGAUGAAAAGCACCUUGAAAAGGGGGUUAAACAGUACGUGAAAUUGUUGAAAGGGAAGCGUUUAUGACCAGACUUGUGCCGUGUGGCUCAUCCGAGGUUCUCCCCGGUGCACUCCACACGGUCCAGGCCAACAUCGGUUUUCGCCGGGGGAUAAGAACGGUAGGAACGUAGCUCCUUUCGGGGAGUGUUAUAGCCUACCGUACGAUACCCUGGCGGGGACCGAGGACCGCGCUUCGGCUAGGAUGUUGGCGUAAUGGUCAUUAGCGACCCGUCUUGAAACACGGACCAAGGAGUCGUCCAUUAGAGCGAGCGUUUGGGUGUAAAACCCGCACGCGUAAUGAAAGUGAAAUUAGGUGAGAGCUUCGGCGCAUCAUCGACCGAUCCUGAAGUUUACGGAUGGAUUUGAGUAAGAGUUUUAACGGACGGACCCGAAAGACAGUGAACUAUGCUUGAAUAGGGUGAAGCCAGAGGAAACUCUGGUGGAGGCUCGCAGCGGUUCUGACGUGCAAAUCGAUCGUCAAAUUUGAGCAUGGGGGCGAAAGACUAAUCGAAC
RNAcentral lists this ribosomal RNA (833 nucleotides) under Ophiognomonia padicola. RNAcentral describes it as "partial large subunit ribosomal RNA". It matches the Rfam family "Eukaryotic large subunit ribosomal RNA", at positions 76 to 940 of the family's 3401-position model. The record is from RNAcentral. Lineage: Eukaryota; Fungi; Ascomycota; Sordariomycetes; Diaporthales; Gnomoniaceae.